RNAcentral lists this long non-coding RNA (381 nucleotides) under Rosa chinensis. Its description in RNAcentral is "sRNA RchiOBHm_Chr5g0021431". Lineage: Eukaryota; Viridiplantae; Streptophyta; Magnoliopsida; Rosales; Rosaceae. The record is from RNAcentral.
GGUUGAGGUAAUAGCAUUUAGUGAUGAAGAAGGAGUAAGGUUUCAGUCUACAUUCAUAGGAAGUGCUUCUGUAGCUGGAAUUUUACCAGUUUCAGCACUGCAAAUGACUGAUAAAAGUGGUAUUCACAUUGAAGAAGGGCCUGUACUGGAAUGGGUUGGUUUUCCUCUAGGAGUUGUUAAAUGCAUAGCUGGACAGACAAGACUAAAGGUUACGAUGUGAGGUUCCCAGGGGCAUGCUGGAACAGUUCCAAUGUCCAUGCGUCGUGACCCUAUGGCUACUGCUGUGGAAUCCAUUGUAUUGUUAGAAAGCCUAUGUAACAUUCGCCGUAGAUUUACGUGCAAUUGAUGACAUGGGACGUGAAGCUGUUGUGUAUGAAUUAU